UUAUUUUUCUAAGGAUUAUAGAUAAAAUUAAAAUAUUUGGCGGCUAUUUAAAUUAAAGGGAUUUGCUGUAAUCGAUUUACCYCGUUGUGUUAUAUUUAGUUUUUUUUUGUAUACCGUCAUUUAGAUAAUUUUUAAAAAAUUAAUUAUGGGGUAACUAUCCAUUAUAUUAGAUCAAGGUGCAGAAAUAAUUAAGAUAAGGUUAAUGACAAUAAUUAGUAUUAAACAGGAGAUAAAUAAUUAUUUUUAAUAGGAGGAUUUAAUUGUAAUAAAAGAUUAUUGAAAUUAAAUUAUAGUGUACAAAUUGCCCGUCAUUCUC
Molecule: ribosomal RNA, 316 nt
Filed under: Niphargus virei
Lineage: Eukaryota; Metazoa; Arthropoda; Malacostraca; Amphipoda; Niphargidae
Description: partial 12S ribosomal RNA
Source: RNAcentral